GAUGAACGCUGGCGGCGUGCCUAAUACAUGCAAGUCGAGCGAACGGACGAGAAGCUUGCUUCUCUGAUGUUAGCGGCGGACGGGUGAGUAACACGUGGAUAACCUACCUAUAAGACUGGGAUAACUUCGGGAAACCGUAGCUAAUACCGGAUAAUAUUUUGAACCGCAUGGUUCAAAAGUGAAAGACGGUCUUGCUGUCACUUAUAGAUGGAUCCGCGCUGCAUUAGCUAGUUGGUAAGGUAACGGCUUACCAAGGCAACGAUGCAUAGCCGACCUGAGAGGGUGAUCGGCCACACUAAAACUGAGACACGGUCCAGACUCCUACGGGAGGCAGCAGUAGGGAAUCUUCCGCAAUAGGCGAAAUCCUGACAGAGCAACGCCGAGUGAGUGAUGAAGGUCUUCGGAUCGUAAAACUCUGUUAUUAGGGAAGAACAUAUGUGUAAGUAACUGUGCACAUCUUGACGGUACCUAAUCAGAAAGCCACGGCUAACUACGUG
This 497-nucleotide ribosomal RNA is filed under the name uncultured bacterium. RNAcentral's name for it is "partial 16S ribosomal RNA". It matches the Rfam family "Bacterial small subunit ribosomal RNA", at positions 28 to 507 of the family's 1533-position model. The record is from RNAcentral.